RNAcentral lists this long non-coding RNA (629 nucleotides) under Ursus maritimus (polar bear). RNAcentral's name for it is "lncRNA (ENSUMAG00000007700.1)". Lineage: Eukaryota; Metazoa; Chordata; Mammalia; Carnivora; Ursidae. The record is from RNAcentral.
CAAAAUCUGAAUUCCUAAACACAACUAGCCCCAGGAGUUUCAGAUAAGGGAUUCCAGACCAGUCUUUCCAGUUAAGCCUUUGUUUGGUGCCUAGAGGUUGUAAUCCCAUCCCCACCAGUUCGCCUGGGGCAAUGCACCCUACUGAGAUGGGGGUUGUUCUCUUUAUUUUGCAAAGUGGGGAGAGGGAUGAUUAGGUCCUGAACCCAAGGCAGGUUUGGGGCAGUUUUAGGAAUAGCGUGGAGGGAGUUGGAAGCUCUGGGAAUAGAUUCCUUUAGGACAGUCCAUGCCGCAGGUCCCACUUCGAGGUCUACUGCUCCAGGGGUGGCCUUGGAAUGAGCACUGGGGUUGAAGAAGUGGAUGCAAUGUGUGUUGCAAGUCUUCUUGGAAUCAGCUACAGGACCUGUGCCGCCUGGCCAAGCUCUCCUGCCCUGCCCUCGGCAUCUCCAAGAGGAAUCUCUAUGACUUUGAAGUGGAGUACCUGUGUGAUUACAAGAAAAUCCGCGAACAAGAGUAUUACCUGGUAAAAUGGCGUGGAUACCCAGACUCAGAGAGCACCUGGGAGCCACGGCAGAAUCUCAAGUGCGUGCGCAUUCUCAAGCAGUUCCAAAAGGACUUAGAAAGGGAGCUGC